GUAGUCCACGCCCUAAACGAUGUACACUUGAUGUCGGCCUGUAAGGGUCGGUGUCGGAGCUAACGCGUUAAGUGUACCACCUGGGGAGUACGCUCGCAAGGGUGAAACUCAAAGGAAUUGACGGGGGCCCGCACAAGCAGUGGAGCAUGUGGUUUAAUUCGAUGCAACGCGAAGAACCUUACCUAGGCUUGAAAAGCAUUCUAAACCUGUGAAAGCAGGGUACCCGCAAGGGGGGAUGUACAGGUGCUGCAUGGCUGUCGUCAGCUCGUGCCGUGAGGUGUUUGGUUAAGUCCAGCAACGAGCGCAACCCCUAGAUUCAGUUGCCAGCACGUAAUGGUGGGAACUCUGGAUCGACUGCCUACGCAAGUAGUGAGGAAGGUGGGGACGACGUCAAGUCAUCAUGGCCCUUACGCCUAGGGCUACACACGUGCUACAAUGGCAUCUACAGCGCGCAGCAAGACCGUGAGGUGGAGCGAAUCGCUAAAAAGAUGUCUCAGUUCAGAUCGGAGUCUGCAACCCGACUCCGUGAAGUUGGAAUUGCUAGUAAUCGCGAGUCAGCACAUCGCGGUGAAUA
Molecule: ribosomal RNA, 574 nt
Filed under: uncultured Chlorobiota bacterium
Lineage: Bacteria; Pseudomonadati; Chlorobiota
Description: bacterial SSU rRNA
Rfam family: Bacterial small subunit ribosomal RNA
Source: RNAcentral